RNAcentral lists this ribosomal RNA (1120 nucleotides) under Staphylococcus xylosus. Its description in RNAcentral is "partial 23S ribosomal RNA". It matches the Rfam family "Bacterial large subunit ribosomal RNA", at positions 1 to 1165 of the family's 2925-position model. The record is from RNAcentral. Lineage: Bacteria; Bacillati; Bacillota; Bacilli; Caryophanales; Staphylococcaceae.
CAAAAAGUUAUUAAGGGCGCACGGUGGAUGCCUUGGCACUAGAAGCCGAUGAAGGACGUUACUAACGACGAUAUGCUUUGGGGAGCUGUAAGCUUUGAUCCAGAGAUUUCCGAAUGGGGAAACCCAGCAUGAGUUAUGUCAUGUUAUCGAUAUGUGAAUACAUAGCAUAUCUGAAGGUAGACGCGGAGAACUGAAACAUCUUAGUACCCGCAGGAAGAGAAAGAAAAUCGAUUCCCUGAGUAGCGGCGAGCGAAACGGGGAAAACCAACGAGCUUGCUUGUUGGGGUUGUAGGACACUCUAUACGGAGUUACAAAAGAAUAAACUAGACGAAUCAUCUGGAAAGAUGAAUCAAAGAAGGUAAUAAUCCUGUAGUCGAAAGUUUAUUCACUCUUGAGUGGAUCCUGAGUACGACGAACACGAGAAAUUCCGUCGGAAUCCGGGAGGACCAUCUCCCAGGCUAAAUACUCUCUAGUGACCGAUAGUGAACCAGUACCGUGAGGAAAGGUGAAAAGUACCCCGGAAGGGAGUGAAAUAGAACUUGAAACCGUGUGCUUACAAGUAGUCAGAGCCCGUUAAUGGGUGAUGGCGUGCCUUUGUAGAAUGAACCGGCGAGUUACGAUUUGAUGCAAGGUUAAGCAGUGAAUGUGGAGCCGUAGCGGCGAGUCUGAAUAGGGCGUUGAGUAUUUGGUCGUAGACCCGAAACCAGGUGAUCUACCCAUGACCAGGUUGAAGUUCAGGUAACACUGAAUGGAGGACCGAACCGACUUACGUUGAAAAGUGAGCGGAUGAGUUGUGGGUAGCGAGAAUUCCAAUCGAACCUGGAGAUAGCUGGUUCUCUCCGAAAUAGCUUUAGGGCUAGCCUCAAGUGAUGAUUAUUGGAGGUAGAGCACUGUUUGGACGAGGGGCCCUCGGGUUACCAGACAAACUCCGAAUGCCAAUUUAACUUGGGAGUUAGAACGCGGGUGAUAAGGUCCGUGUUCGAAAGCCCAGACCACCAGCUAAGGUCCCAAAAUAUAUGUUGUGGAAAUGUGGCGUUGCCCAGACAACUAGGAUGUUGGCUUAGAAGCAGCCAUCAUUUAAAGAGUGCGUAAUAGCUCACUAGUCGAGUGACACUGCGCC